UUGACCAUACUUUGACUGAUGGCUGGUCAUGGGUGGUGAGUGCGGACGUCAGAGUGGGCUCAAACUGUCGGCCGUGGAUAGGCCAACAAUCCCACAAAGUUUCAACUUUUUGUGUUGCUCCUUCCUCAAGAUGCUGCUAAGGG
This is a long non-coding RNA of Bradysia coprophila, 143 nucleotides long. NCBI's taxonomy places the organism in Eukaryota, Metazoa, Arthropoda, Insecta, Diptera, Sciaridae. The record is from RefSeq and is a predicted model, not a curated record.